RNAcentral lists this long non-coding RNA (3094 nucleotides) under Nicotiana tabacum (common tobacco). RNAcentral's name for it is "long non-coding RNA (NTAB_LNC012430)". Lineage: Eukaryota; Viridiplantae; Streptophyta; Magnoliopsida; Solanales; Solanaceae. The record is from RNAcentral.
UCGCCUCUGGGAUGCAGAAGUACAAUGGAAAGCCCUGAAAAUAGUGGAUCUGGCACUUCAAUGUGCUCAACUCGAGGCAAAUGCGAGGCCUGCGAUGAGGGAUGUAGUAAGGUCUCUUGUCGAGUUAAAUCAUAGAUGUAAAGAGAAGAAAUGAAGCUUUUAACACUGUAACUCGGUUCAUUUUUCCAACUUCCAACAUAAUACAUGAUCCUGAAUCUUUCAUUUUAACUUUCUGACAACCAAUGCAACAACACAGAUUAAAAAAAUGAAUGAUGUUUCCAGUACAAAUUUAAAGUAUGUCCUAUUACUUCCUCCAGCUGCUCCAAAUUUUGAACAAAUUUCAGGUUUUAAAAUUAAAAAGAGAGCAAGAAUGGACAACGCAUUGCUACAAUCUAGUCCUAUUUUGUGGCUUAUAAAAAGAAAGAAGACUAGAAAAACAGCACUUCACAAUCAGCAGAAAAAGAUAGAUUUUGUUGGAUUUGAUAGAACUAAUGAUGAUGGCUCCUGCAAAAGAAUGCAAGAAUCGAUGAUGUCUGCCUUGCCCUUCUUCUUUGAGUACCAGACUUCCAAUGACUGAAUAAUUUCUAGAAAAGAAAAUCAAAGAGGAUAUGAUGAAUAGAAAUAGUUUGUGGAACAAUCAUUAUAUUUCAUGCAAAUACAGAUUUAAAUAAAAGAGACAUAACUCAGGUAUGGGUUAUGACAGAACUUCUAACAAGACUUGACUGAGAAAUGGCAAAUCAAAUAGGAAAAUCAGAAAAUGAGAGUAUAAUAAUAGUCCUUGUAGAAUUAAUCAAAACUCAGUAGAAAGGAAAUACUCAAGAGGUGCAAGAAUAAAUUGGUACUGCUACUACAAAUGACAAACAGAUGAAAGGCAUGUCUCAAUUAUGAAAACUGCAGCACCGGAGUUAGUACAAUGCGCACUAAUCAUCAGAGUAGAAAAAGUCCAAUUGAAACCUUUUCAGAAUCGUAUUGUUUAUCCAAUUGACUUGGAUGUGCAUUACAAACAAAUCCACGCAAGAUUUUGACUACUUUCAGGUUAAGUUUAUUCAUUAGAAUUUGCAUUGGACAUACUCACAUGACAACACUACACAUGUUGACAAGUUUCGGACUUCUAGCAAUAGAACUUCCAUUUUGGAGUCAGAUCCACUAAAUUCCCAAACUUCUACACUUAGAAAUGCAUUUCCGCGCCAAAAUAUUUGAGACGAAGUCCUAGAAUUUGGUGCUUGCUCCAGUACCAAAGCUAGUGCAAGCAGCUAAAAAGAGAAAGUAUAAAACAUUGAAGAGAAUAGUUUAGAUACGCGAUAAGCCGAUAACCAAGAUUGAAGAGGAAGAAGUUCUGCAUAGUUUCUCAAAAAGAGCUAAUCAUAUUCUACAUCCGAUCACAUUGCUGAAGUUAAAAGUAUAGUCAUAAAUGUUUGAAACCCUAGUCCAAAGGUAAGGUCCCUAGAAACAAGAAUCUACAGAAAUGCUCCAAGAAACAAAGUAACAUACUCAAAAGCUUUUCAAAUAGCCUCAAGGUGAAGAAUUUAAAACAAGGUUAGACUUGUCUGCUUCCUCAGUCUAAUAAAGUAUGAUUCAGGGCUCAGGAGUUUGUCUACUUUGAAUUUAGAGAACUACUCCAUUACUGGCUAUGUUACCUACAACUAACUUGUAAAUUAACAGCUCAAUGGACCUAUACAUUGUCUUGUUGGGUAUUCGAAUACUUACAACCAGCUAAAUUGAACAAUAGUUUAUUAAUAUACAUGGUCUAUGGACUAUUAAGCACAGAGCAACAUGACAAUAUUUUCAAUGAAAGUAAAACAUCACCAUGAGGAGGAUGGAAUGUCCAAUCACGUCAUAAAGAAUUAGAUACAUAAUAGAGCUUGGCAAUCUGUUUGAUUAACACUAAACAAUGCUAACUUUUAGAAAAAGCUCGAGUUCUACAAUUCUUUCAUAUUUUCUUCACAACUGUUCCAAUCAAUCAUGAUAAUGUAUAUCUAUCUGCAAGAAUAUUUCAACGAAACAUAUUUUUUGUCAUUUGAUUUUACAUAUAUUAAAUGAAAUAAAGGACCUAAAAGUCAGGUUACUAGACGAAUAUUGAUAAGUUCCAAACCACAUCUGUUUGCCUCAAUCUCUUUUUGUCAAUCAAUACCAUUAUACAUGAUAAGGGAACAAACUUAAAGGACAAUAUGAUGUAUACCAGCUUUUGCAUAUGAUCAAUGAUGGAUCAAUUCCUAGUUGACGCAAACAUGACAAAUAAAGCCUAUGGCAAGAUACGGAACCAACAAAACCUCUCCCGCUCGGUGUAUUGAAGUCCAUUGCCCCCAUUCUGGGUACUCAAUAGAAGUCCAAAACAUAUCGAGUAUCUAAUUACCAAGUCUACCAGAUGAGUUCCAGAACUGGAGAUUUCAAAAGGUUUUUUUUACUGAUUAACCAGCUGACUAAGAAAUAACACUAUGCUGCUAGGUGAAAUUACAUUGUUACAUUGUCUCUGUAUAGGUCACACGUUUGAGCCGUGGAAUCAGCCACUGAUGCUUGCAUUAGGGUAUAUCGAUAGACUACCUACAUCACACCUCUUGGGGUGCGGCCUUUUCUGACCCUGCGUGAAUGUGGGAUAAUUUGUGCACAUGCUUCCUUUUUAUACUAUAUAUUGAAUCCCUCGGCUUCUUUGUCUAUUUAAUUCUCUAUAUUUUGACUACUUUUAGUGAAAAUACUGGUUAUGCCACGAGCUAACUAGUGAAAUAAUAAAGCAAGGAUGUGAAGAGAAAAGGAAGAUAUGAGAAAUAUAUUCUUGAGCAAUAAAAUAGGAAGAUGAAGAGCAUUAUUUGAUCGCGAAGCUGCGAACCAAGAGCACACAAGAGAUAUCAGCAACAUCAGACUUUAGUCACAGUCAUAAUACGCCAUCUAUUCUGUUGUUUUUCACUUGAAUCAGCUUCAGAUUCUUUGUUAAAUUUUAGAGAGCCGAAAUUGGGAAAAGCAUUGUACCUGUUGAUUGAUGGAUCGGAGCAUGGGAAACAAAGCAAUUCAAAUUAUAAAAGAUAAUGCAUAGCUAUUACUACUUCAGAAAAUCAUUUUUGAACAUUAAAUAGAUUGGAUUGAUAUAAUUUUGUGAAGC